UAUUAUUGUUUAAAUUUGGGUAACAUGUUCUUCAUGAGUAUUAAAGCUACAGCGAGCUGUUCAUAGCACAAGUGAAGGAAGACACAUGGCAGGAGCCAGACUGACAGACAUGGACCGGGUUAGGGACAUGUAUGAUGGAGUUGAUCCUGCUACAAUGAAUAAACAACAAAAAGAAGCACACAGACACAGAACAGUUGAAGAAAACCCAGAUGUUCUGUAUAGGGUUUUUGAGCAGGACAGACUUCAUAUGUUGUUCUUAAGACCGACUCGUCCUGGACUGUGGAUGAGUGUGAUCCAGAGAAGGAUUACAACCAACCUGUCUUUUCAGAUGACUAAGAGACGUGCUGAAAACAAUAUCUUCAAGAUCACCAUGUCUGGUCCUCAGAAUGAACUUCAACGCUUCUGUGAUGAGUUUGAGGAGAUUAGGGAAAUGGUAAUGCUAAAUGAAGGCACAGCAGCACAAAACAACCCAGAGGAUGAUGUUGAGGAGCUCAGAGCAAGAAUCAGGGAGCUGGAACUGGAAAACAGAAGACUACGUGGGCUUCAAGAGCAUUAGAUGUGUCUCCAGACCAGGUGCACACCCGAGGCCUGUGUAUCACAGUUCCACUUUCCUCACUGCAGUGGGAGCAAAUAAAGUCCACCAUAAUCCUGAAUAAUGAAAACCGGCUUUCAUUUAGUACUGAGCUUCACAAAGAAGGAAUGAAUUUCAGUUCAUCUAAGGCUUAGGAAUAGAUUUAAACUUACUCUUCUGUUUUUGUUUUCCUUGUUUAUUUGUUUGUUUGUUUGUUUGUUUGUUUGUUUGUUUGUUUGUUUGUUUGUUUGUUUGUUUGUUUUUCAUUUGGUUUGAUUCAUUGAUUUUAUUGUAUUCAGUUUUAAAUGUUUAUUUCUCUCAUACACAACGUUGCACAUUAUGACAUGCAGAUAAAUGUUGGCCUAAAAGAAGAAUAAAAUUGUUACAAUAAAAGUAGAUGUUGGAUUAUCUGUACAAAUAAUAGUAAUAAAAUAUAAAAUAUAUAAAUAUAUUUAUAUGAAUAUGGUACAGUCAGCAAACAGUAUGACUUUGGGAAAUAAAGUUCAGAUGUUUACUAUAUUUUAUACUAUUGUAAUUACAUUUACUGUGCGAGUUAAUAAACAUUUAAUAAAGUGAUUAUUAAAACA
Molecule: long non-coding RNA, 1158 nt
Organism: Tachysurus fulvidraco (yellow catfish)
Lineage: Eukaryota; Metazoa; Chordata; Actinopteri; Siluriformes; Bagridae
Exons: 3
Source: RefSeq, a predicted model, not a curated record